UUUUAGUUUGCCAUUGGUCGAGGGGAGGUGAAAUAGUGCCCAACUGUACCGUGCCCGGACCUGGCCGAGCCGCGCGCACCUGCUGCGGGAAGGAACGAGGGAGUUGUGCGCCCAUGAGCAGGGGGUCACGGAGCAGAGGCAGGCUCCUCUGCUGACCUACCCUGCUUCCCAGCUUGCAAUUUGAAGUGGAUGUCAAGGCUCCCCUGCUACUACUUCUCAAAGGGAAAGUUAAUGAACAACAGCUGCUACAUUCAGUUUGCUGACCUUCAUUGUCCACUCUAUGUACCUGCUGCCUGCUAACAAGGUGAGUCAACAAAAAAGCUAGGCCCUAGCAAUUUGG
Molecule: long non-coding RNA, 340 nt
Filed under: Crocodylus porosus (Australian saltwater crocodile)
Lineage: Eukaryota; Metazoa; Chordata; Crocodylia; Crocodylidae
Description: lncRNA (ENSCPRG00005018234.1)
Source: RNAcentral